This 188-nucleotide microRNA precursor is filed under the name Olea europaea subsp. europaea. RNAcentral describes it as "MIR159 microRNA precursor family". It matches the Rfam family "MIR159 microRNA precursor family". The record is from Rfam by way of RNAcentral. Lineage: Eukaryota; Viridiplantae; Streptophyta; Magnoliopsida; Lamiales; Oleaceae.
GACUUUAGAAGAGAGCUUUCUUCAGUCCAGUUAUGGGAGGCCGUAGGAUUCAAUUUGCUGUUGACUCAUUCAUCCAAAUGCUGUGUAGUUGAUGAGUUUUACACGGUAACUGAGUGAAUGAUGCGAGAGUCAAGUUGAAUCUUAAGCUUUCUGUACUUGGACUGAAGGGAGCUCCCUUCCACUGUUUU